UACGUGAGGGGCAAACGUUGUUCGGUGUCACUGGGCUUAAAGGGCGCGUAGGUGGCUGCGUAAGUAAGGUGUGAAAGCCCUCGGCUUACCCGGGGAAUUGCGCCUUAAACUGCGUGGCUUGAGGACCAGAGGGGUAGGAGGAACUCCAGGUGUAGCGGUGAAAUGCGUAGAUAUCUGGGGGAAGGCCGGCGGCGAAGGCGUCCUACUGGCUGGUUCCUGACACUGAGGCGCGAAAGCGUGGGGAGCAAACAGGAUUAGAUACCCCUGUAGU
RNAcentral lists this ribosomal RNA (271 nucleotides) under uncultured bacterium. Its description in RNAcentral is "partial 16S ribosomal RNA". It matches the Rfam family "Bacterial small subunit ribosomal RNA", at positions 524 to 794 of the family's 1533-position model. The record is from RNAcentral.